RNAcentral lists this transfer RNA (72 nucleotides) under Pyrrhoderma lamaoense. RNAcentral's name for it is "tRNA-Glu". It matches the Rfam family "tRNA". From Rfam's summary of the family: Transfer RNA (tRNA) molecules are approximately 80 nucleotides in length. Their secondary structure includes four short double-helical elements and three loops (D, anti-codon, and T loops). Further hydrogen bonds mediate the characteristic L-shaped molecular structure. tRNAs have two regions of fundamental functional importance: the anti-codon, which is responsible for specific mRNA codon recognition, and the 3' end, to which the tRNAs corresponding amino acid is attached (by aminoacyl-tRNA synthetases). tRNAs cope with the degeneracy of the genetic code in two manners: having more than one tRNA (with a specific anti-codon) for a particular amino acid; and 'wobble' base-pairing, i.e. permitting non-standard base-pairing at the 3rd anti-codon position. Lineage: Eukaryota; Fungi; Basidiomycota; Agaricomycetes; Hymenochaetales; Hymenochaetaceae. The record is from RNAcentral.
GGUCUUUUAGUAUAAUGGUUAGUACAGUUGCCCUUCACGCAGCCAGUGUCAGUUCGAAUCUGAUAAAGACUA